CAGUAGCCGCGGGAAUACCGAGGGUGCAAGCGUUAAUCGGAAUUACUGGGCGUAAAGCGCGCGUAGGUGGUUUGUUAAGUUGGAUGUGAAAUCCCCGGGCUCAACCUGGGAACUGCAUCCAAAACUGGCAAGCUAGAGUAUGGUAGAGGGUGGUGGAAUUUCCUGUGUAGCGGUGAAAUGCGUAGAUAUAGGAAGGAACACCAGUGGCGAAGGCGACCACCUGGACUGAUACUGACACUGAGGUGCGAAAGCGUGGGGAGCAAACAGGAUUAGAUACCCCGGUAGUCCCUGUCUCUUAUAC
This 301-nucleotide ribosomal RNA is filed under the name uncultured bacterium. Its description in RNAcentral is "partial 16S ribosomal RNA". It matches the Rfam family "Bacterial small subunit ribosomal RNA", at positions 509 to 807 of the family's 1533-position model. The record is from RNAcentral.